UGGGGGAUAUUGCACAAUGGGCGAAAGCCUGAUGCAGCGACGCCGCGUGGGGGAUGAAGGCUUUCGGGUUGUAAACCUCUUUCGCUAUCGAACAAGGCCCGCUUAGGGUGGGUUGAGGGUAGGUGGAGAAGAAGCGCCGGCUAACUACGUGCCAGCAGCCGCGGUAAUACGUAGGGCGCGAGCGUUGUCCGGAAUUAUUGGGCGUAAAGGGCUUGUAGGCGGCUUGUUGCGCCUGCUGUGAAAACGCGGGGCUUAACUUCGCGCGUGCAGUGGGUACGGGCAGGCUUGAGUGUGGUAGGCGUGACUGGAAUUCCAGGUGUAGCGGUGGGAUGCGCAGAUAUCUGGAGGAACACCGAUGGCGAAGGCAGGUCACUGGGCCAUUACUGACGCUGAGGAGCGAAAGCAUGGGUAGUGAACAGG
Molecule: ribosomal RNA, 420 nt
Filed under: bacterium
Lineage: Bacteria
Description: partial 16S ribosomal RNA
Rfam family: Bacterial small subunit ribosomal RNA
Source: RNAcentral